This 382-nucleotide ribosomal RNA is filed under the name uncultured marine Chaetocerotaceae. Its description in RNAcentral is "SSU rRNA". It matches the Rfam family "Eukaryotic small subunit ribosomal RNA", at positions 587 to 972 of the family's 1831-position model. The record is from RNAcentral. Lineage: Eukaryota; Bacillariophyta; Thalassiosirophyceae; Chaetocerotales; Chaetocerotaceae.
AGCUCCAAUAGCGUAUAUUAAAGUUGUUGCAGUUAAAAAGCUCGUAGUUGGAUUUCUGGUGUGAGGGAACGGUCCGACCUCUGGUGGGUACUUGCUUCCUCUCACGCCAUCCUUGAGUGGUGCGUUCUGGCAUUCAGUUGUCGGGACGUUAGCCGCUCAUCGUUUACUGUGAGAAAAUUAGAGUGUUCAAAGCAGGCUUAUGCCGUUGAAUAUAUUAGCAUGGAAUAAUAAGAUAGGACUUCGGUACUAUUUUGUUGGUUUGCGCACCGAUGUAAUGAUCAAUAGGGACAGUUGGGGGUAUUCGUAUUCAGUUGUCAGAGGUGAAAUUCUUAGAUUUACGGAAGACGAACUACUGCGAAAGCAUUUACCAAGGAUGUUUUCA